UGGGGAAUAUUGGACAAUGGGCGCAAGCCUGAUCCAGCCAUGCCGCGUGAGUGAUGAAGGUCUUAGGAUUGUAAAGCUCUUUCACCGGGGACGAUAAUGACGGUACCCGGAGAAGAAGCCCCGGCUAACUUCGUGCCAGCAGCCGCGGUAAUACGAAGGGGGCUAGCGUUGUUCGGAAUUACUGGGCGUAAAGCGCACGUAGGCGGAUAUUUAAGUCAGGGGUGAAAUCCCGGGGCUCAACCCCGGAACGGCCUUUGAUACUGGGUAUCUUGAGUGUGGUAGAGGUGAGUGGAAGUGCGAGUGUAGAGGUGAAAUUCGUAGAUAUUCGCAGGAACACCAGUGGCGAAGGCGGCUCACUGGACCACAACUGACGCUGAGGUGCGAAAGCGUGGGGAGCAAACAGG
Molecule: ribosomal RNA, 404 nt
Filed under: uncultured prokaryote
Also listed under: 1 other name
Description: bacterial SSU rRNA
Rfam family: Bacterial small subunit ribosomal RNA
Source: RNAcentral